This 587-nucleotide ribosomal RNA is filed under the name Epinephelus lanceolatus (giant grouper). RNAcentral describes it as "partial 16S ribosomal RNA". It matches the Rfam family "Bacterial large subunit ribosomal RNA", at positions 1833 to 2619 of the family's 2925-position model. The record is from RNAcentral. Lineage: Eukaryota; Metazoa; Chordata; Actinopteri; Perciformes; Serranidae.
UAAACCAAAAGUAUAAGAGGUCCCGCCUGCCCUGUGACUAUAUGUUUAACGGCCGCGGUAUUUUGACCGUGCGAAGGUAGCGCAAUCACUUGUCUUUUAAAUAGGGACCUGUAUGAAUGGCAUAACGAGGGCUUAACUGUCUCCUUUUUCAAGUCAAUGAAAUUGAUCUCCCCGUGCAGAAGCGGGGAUAAACACAUAAGACGAGAAGACCCUGUGGAGCUUCAGACACUAAAGCAGAACAGCAUCAACACCCUGAACAUAGGACACAAAUAAACUGACUCCUGCCCUAAUGUCUUUGGUUGGGGCGACCGCGGAGAAAUAUAAAACCCCCGCAAGGACUGAAUGUACUACAUUCACAACCAAGAGUGACAACUCUAACUAACAGAACUUCUGACCAGUAAGAUCCGGCAAUGCCGAUCAAUGAACCAAGUUACCCCAGGGAUAACAGCGCAAUCUCCUCUUAGAGUCCAUAUCGACGAGGGGGUUUACGACCUCGAUGUUGGAUCAGGACAUCCUAAUGGUGCAGCCGCUAUUAAGGGUUCGUUUGUUCAACGAUUAAAGUCCUACGUGAUCUGAGUUUCAACCGG